UACGUAGGGGGCAAGCGUUAUCCGGAAUUACUGGGUGUAAAGGGUGAGUAGGCGGCAUGGUAAGCCAGAUGUGAAAGCCUUGGGCUUAACCCGAGGAUUGCAUUUGGAACUAUCAAGCUAGAGUACAGGAGAGGAAAGCGGAAUUCCUAGUGUAGCGGUGAAAUGCGUAGAUAUUAGGAGGAACACCAGUGGCGAAGGCGGCUUACUGGACGGCAACUGACGCUGAGGCUCGAAAGCGUGGGGAGCAAACAGG
Molecule: ribosomal RNA, 253 nt
Filed under: uncultured bacterium
Lineage: Bacteria
Description: partial 16S ribosomal RNA
Rfam family: Bacterial small subunit ribosomal RNA
Source: RNAcentral